AACUCCUGGGUACAAUCCAAGAAAGAUCAGCCUGCAAAAAGGAUAUUUUUCUCUAACAAGCCAUAUUUACCAAGCGAGACGCCUGCUGGACUAAAAGCAUUAAGAGAAAAAGAACUAAAAGAUAUCAGGGGUGAUGGCAAAGGAGAGAGAAAAUUAUCAGACAGGAUUUAUGACUUUGAUGUCUACAAUGAUUUGGGAAAUCCUGACAGGGGUGUUGAGCUUACCAGGCCAAAACUGGGAGGUAAAAACAUUCCAUAUCCAAGACGGUGUCGCACUGGCCGUCGUCCAACUGAUACAGAUAUAAAUGCAGAGAGUCGUGUAGAGAAGCCCUUGCCAAUGUAUGUACCUAGAGAUGAACAAUUUGAGGAGUCUAAGCAAAAAACAUUCUCAGCUGGGAGGCUUAAGGCAGUGCUUCACAGUCUAAUACCAUCCUUAAAGGCCACCAUUUCUUCUGAGAACCGCGACUUUAAUGCGUUUUCAGACAUUGAUAUUCUCUACAAAGAGGGGCUGCUUCUCAAAGUAGGGCUUCAAGAUGAAAUCUGGAG
RNAcentral lists this unclassified non-coding RNA (545 nucleotides) under Hevea brasiliensis (rubber tree). Lineage: Eukaryota; Viridiplantae; Streptophyta; Magnoliopsida; Malpighiales; Euphorbiaceae. The record is from RNAcentral.